Molecule: ribosomal RNA, 301 nt
Filed under: uncultured bacterium
Lineage: Bacteria
Description: partial 16S ribosomal RNA
Rfam family: Bacterial small subunit ribosomal RNA
Source: RNAcentral
CAGCCGCCGCGGUAAUACGAAGGGUGCAAGCGUUAAUCGGAAUUACUGGGCGUAAAGCGUGCGUAGGCGGUGAGUUAAGUCUGCUGUGAAAUCCCCGGGCUCAACCUGGGAAUGGCAGUGGAUACUGGCUCGCUAGAGUGUGUCAGAGGAUGGUGGAAUUCCCGGUGUAGCAGUGAAAUGCGUAGAGAUCGGAAGGAACAUCUGUGGCGAAGGCGACUAUCUGGGCCAACACUGACACUGAGGCACGAAAGCGUGGGGAGCAAACAGGAUUAGAUACCCCAGUAGUCCCUGUCUCUUAUAC